Molecule: ribosomal RNA, 440 nt
Filed under: uncultured bacterium
Lineage: Bacteria
Description: partial 16S ribosomal RNA
Rfam family: Bacterial small subunit ribosomal RNA
Source: RNAcentral
CCUACGGGAGGCUGCAGUGGGGGAUAUUGCACAAUGGGGGGAACCCUGAUGCAGCGCCGCCGCGUGGGUGAAGAAGCGCCUCGGCGCGUAAAGCCCUGUCAGCAGGGAAGAAAAUGACGGUACCUGAAGAAGAAGCCCCGGCUAACUACGUGCCAGCAGCCGCGGUAAUACGUAGGGGGCAAGCGUUAUCCGGAUUUACGGGGUGGAAAGGGGGCGCAGACGGCGCUGGAAGCCAGGAGUGAAAGCCCGGGGCCCAACCCCGGGACUGCUCUUGGAACUGCGUGGCUGGAGUGCAGGAGGGGCAGGCGGAAUUCCUGGUGUAGCGGUGAAAUGCGUAGAUAUCAGGAGGAACACCGGUGGCGAAGGCGGCCUGCUGGACUGCAACUGACGUUGAGGCCCGAAAGCGUGGGGAGCAAACAGGAUUAGAUACCCCAGUAGUC